RNAcentral lists this ribosomal RNA (252 nucleotides) under uncultured bacterium. RNAcentral describes it as "partial 16S ribosomal RNA". It matches the Rfam family "Bacterial small subunit ribosomal RNA", at positions 524 to 776 of the family's 1533-position model. The record is from RNAcentral.
UACGGGGGGGCAAGCGUUGUUCGGAAUUACUGGGCGUAAAGGGCUCGUAGGCGGCCAACUAAGUCGGAUGUGAAAUCCCCAGGCUCAACUUGGGAACUGCAUCCGAUACUGGAUGGCUUGAAGUCCGGGAGAGGGAUGCAGAAUUCCAGGUGUAGCGGUGAAAUGCGUAGAUAUCUGGGAGGAAUACCGGUGGCGAAGGCGGCAUCCUGGACCGGCAUUGACGCUGAUGAGCGAAAGCUAGGGAGCAACGGG